AUGGCUAGAGAAGCAUGUGUUUCGGAUGCUACUGAUGUGAUCAAAUGGGGCCUGGGUGGGAGAACCUCUUUUACCACCAAAUCUGUUUACUCGUUCCUGGAAAAGAAUGUUGCUGGAUGCGACUACAGAUGGAUAUGGAGUGCCAGAAUCUCUCUCAAAAUUCAAAUAUUCUUGUGGAAACUUUUUUAGGAUGUUGUCCUGACUAGGGAUGUGAUGAAACAUCAAGGUUGGAAAGGGAAUCCAAAAUGUUCUUUUUGCGGAGGAAGAGAGACCACACAGCACUUGUUCUUUACUUGCCCUGUUGCCAGGAUAACCUGGAGGACAGUGGCAUGCAUGUUUGGCACUGCUUUGUGCCCUGAUAAUAUUUGGCAGGCCUAUUCGUGGUGUUUUACAUUCUUACCUGGAGGGAAAAAUAUUCUAUACAGCAGGGAUCGCUGUUGUGUGCUGGGCGAUCUGGUCGUGUCGCAACAGGGCUACUUUUGA
RNAcentral lists this ribosomal RNA (483 nucleotides) under Triticum aestivum (bread wheat). RNAcentral describes it as "partial small subunit ribosomal RNA". The record is from RNAcentral. Lineage: Eukaryota; Viridiplantae; Streptophyta; Magnoliopsida; Poales; Poaceae.